This 348-nucleotide ribosomal RNA is filed under the name uncultured bacterium. Its description in RNAcentral is "bacterial SSU rRNA". It matches the Rfam family "Bacterial small subunit ribosomal RNA", at positions 28 to 403 of the family's 1533-position model. The record is from RNAcentral.
GACGAACGCUGGCGGCGUGCUUAACACAUGCAAGUCGAACGGGCGUAGCAAUACGUCAGUGGCGGACGGGUGAGUAACACGUGGGAAUAUGCCUUUCGGUUCGGAACAACUCGGGGAAACCCGUGCUAAUUCCGGAUACGCCCUUACGGGGAAGAUUUAUCGCCGAAAGAUUAGCCCGCGUUGGAUUAGCUAGUUGGUGAGGUAAAGGCUCACCAAGGCGACGAUCCAUAGCUGGUUUGAGAGAACGACCAGCCACACUGGGACUGAGACACGGCCCAGACUCCUACGGGAGGCANCAGUGGGGAAUCUUGGACAAUGGGCGCAAGCCUGAUCCAGCCAUGCCGCGUG